RNAcentral lists this long non-coding RNA (543 nucleotides) under Sorghum bicolor (sorghum). RNAcentral describes it as "long non-coding RNA (SBIC_LNC013134)". The record is from RNAcentral. Lineage: Eukaryota; Viridiplantae; Streptophyta; Magnoliopsida; Poales; Poaceae.
GCCGUUUGGUGAGGGCCAGCAGCAGCUGGUGGUGAUGACAUUGCCACAAGAACAACGUACCGAUGAAGCAACAGCAACUCUCCCUGGGAACGAUCUGCGGCAUACAAAGGAGAUCAAGAGGGAGACAUGAGGAACAAAGGUGCCAUGUAGGGUGAGCAUCAGGGGAUUUCCUGCAGCUUACCAUGGAAAAACGUCGGUGUUCAUGGGUUCCAAGAUUACUGCUGCAGCAAAAACCGAUCCAUGGCGUCAUCGGGACUCUGUUUUGGUGGAGCAACAACAGAUGGAGGUAGGAGAUGUGGAGGGGGCGUCCAUGUGAGAUGGACGAAGGAGAGAAGUUGAGGUGGUGUCCAUCUGCUGGUGCUCUCAUAAAAAAAUAGAAGAAGGAGAGGAAGGGAAUAUGGUGGGAGCAGCCAUGGGAAUGGAAAAGAGAAGAUGGAGUGCUUCUUCUCUGGUGAUGGCAUGAGGGGAAGGAGAGAAAAGGAGGAGGCAGCCAUCUUAUGGUGGAAGAGGAAGAGGUGAGGGUCCUUCUGUUGUGUGCGUGAG